Molecule: ribosomal RNA, 510 nt
Filed under: uncultured bacterium
Lineage: Bacteria
Description: bacterial SSU rRNA
Rfam family: Bacterial small subunit ribosomal RNA
Source: RNAcentral
GAUGAACGCUAGCGGCAGGCUUAACACAUGCAAGUCGAGGGGCAGCGCGAUGUAGCAAUACAUUGGCGGCGACCGGCGCACGGGUGCGUAACACGUAUGGAACUUACCCUUUACUGGGAGAUAGCCCGGAGAAAUUCCGGAUUAAUAUCCCAUAAUAAACGAAGUGGCAUCACUUUGUUUGAAAGCUCCGGGCGGUAAAGGAUGGCCAUGCGCACGGAUUAGCUAGUAGGUGAGGUAACGGCUCACCUAGGCUACGAUCGUUAGGGGGCCUGAGAGGGUUAUCCCCCACACUGGUACUGAGACACGGACCAGACUCCUACGGGAGGCAGCAGUGAGGAAUAUUGCGCAAUGGAGGCAACUCUGACGCAGCCAUGCCGCGUGCAGGAAGAAGGCGCUACGCGUUGUAAACUGCUUUUAACCGGGAAGAAACCCUCCGACGUGUCGGAGGUUGACGGUACCGGAGGAAUAAGCACCGGCUAACUUCGUGCCAGCAGCCGCGGUAAAGUGACG